RNAcentral lists this ribosomal RNA (253 nucleotides) under uncultured bacterium. RNAcentral's name for it is "partial 16S ribosomal RNA". It matches the Rfam family "Bacterial small subunit ribosomal RNA", at positions 524 to 776 of the family's 1533-position model. The record is from RNAcentral.
UACGUAGGGUGCAAGCGUUGUCCGGAAUUAUUGGGCGUAAAGAGCUCGUAGGCGGUUUGUCGCGUCUGCUGUGAAAACCCGAGGCUCAACCUCGGGCCUGCAGUGGGUACGGGCAGACUAGAGUGCGGUAGGGGAGAUUGGAAUUCCUGGUGUAGCGGUGGAAUGCGCAGAUAUCAGGAGGAACACCGAUGGCGAAGGCAGAUCUCUGGGCCGUAACUGACGCUGAGGAGCGAAAGCGUGGGGAGCGAACGGG